GACGAACGCUGGCGGCGUGCCUAAUACAUGCAAGUCGAGCGAAUGACGAGAAGCUUGCUUCUCUGAUUUAGCGGCGGACGGGUGAGUAACACGUGGGCAACCUGCCCUACAGAUCGGGAUAACUCAGGGAAACCUGGGCUAAUACCGGAUAAUCCUUCGAAUCACAUGUUUUGACGUUGAAAGGCGCUUCGGCGUCACUGUAGGAUGGGCCCGCGGUGCAUUAGCUAGUUGGUGGGGUAACGGCCUACCAAGGCAACGAUGCAUAGCCGACCUGAGAGGGUGAUCGGCCACAUUGGGACUGAGACACGGCCCAAACUCCUACGGGAGGCAGCAGUAGGGGAUCUUCCACAAUGGACGAAAGUCUGAUGGAGCAACGCCGCGUGAGUGAUGAAGGUUUUCGGAUCGUAAAACUCUGUUGUAAGGGAAGAACAAGUACGUUAGGAAAUGAACGUACCUUGACGGUACCUUAUUAGAAAGCCACGGCUAACUACGUGCCAGCAGCCGCAGUAA
Molecule: ribosomal RNA, 510 nt
Filed under: uncultured bacterium
Lineage: Bacteria
Description: partial 16S ribosomal RNA
Rfam family: Bacterial small subunit ribosomal RNA
Source: RNAcentral